GACGAACGCUGGCGGCGUGCUUAACACAUGCAAGUCGAACGGAAAGGCCCUGCUUUUGUGGGGUGCUCGAGUGGCGAACGGGUGAGUAACACGUGAGUAACCUGCCCUUGACUCUGGGAUAACUUCAGGAAACUGGGGCUAAUACCGGAUAGGAGCUCCUGCUGCAUGGUGGGGGUUGGAAAGUUUCGGCGGUUGGGGAUGGACUCGCGGCUUAUCAGCUUGUUGGUGGGGUAGUGGCUUACCAAGGCUUUGACGGGUAGCCGGCCUGAGAGGGUGACCGGCCACAUUGGGACUGAGAUACGGCCCAGACUCCUACGGGAGGCAGCAGUGGGGAAUAUUGCACAAUGGGCGGAAGCCUGAUGCAGCAACGCCGCGUGCGGGAUGACGGCCUUCGGGUUGUAAACCGCUUUCGCCUGUGACGAAGCGUGAGUGACGGGAAUGGGUAAAGAAGCACCGGCUAACUACGU
RNAcentral lists this ribosomal RNA (467 nucleotides) under uncultured bacterium. Its description in RNAcentral is "partial 16S ribosomal RNA". It matches the Rfam family "Bacterial small subunit ribosomal RNA", at positions 28 to 506 of the family's 1533-position model. The record is from RNAcentral.